Molecule: ribosomal RNA, 406 nt
Filed under: uncultured bacterium
Lineage: Bacteria
Description: partial 16S ribosomal RNA
Rfam family: Bacterial small subunit ribosomal RNA
Source: RNAcentral
AUUGAACGCUGGCGGCAGGCCUAACACAUGCAAGUCGAACGAGUGGCGGACGGGUGAGUAAUGUCUGGGAAACUGCCUGAUGGAGGGGGAUAACUACUGGAAACGGUAGCUAAUACCGCAUACCAUCAGAUGUGCCCAGAUGUGAUUAGCUUGUUGGUGGGGUAACGGCUCACCACGGCUACGAUCCCUAGCUGGGCUGAGAGGAUGACGAGCCACACUGGAACUGAUACACGGUCCAGACUCCUACGGGAGGCAGCAGUGGGGAAUAUUGCACAAUGGGCUCAAGCCUGAUGCAGCCAUGCCGCGUGUAUGAAGAAGGCCUUCGGGUUUUAUAGUACUUUCAGCGGGGAGGCGUUACCCGCAGAAGAAGCACAGGCUAACGCCGUGCCAGCAGCCGCGGUAAUUC